AACGCGAAGAACCUUACCCAGGCUUGACAUGCAGAGGACAGUGCUGGAAACAGCAUCUCCCUUCGGGGCCUCUGCACAGGUGCUGCAUGGCUGUCGUCAGCUCGUGCCGUGAGGUGUUGGGUUAAGUCCCGCAACGAGCGCAACCCUUAUCAUUAGUUGCCAACACUUAGGGUGGGAACUCUAAUGAGACUGCCUGGGUUAACCAGGAGGAAGGUGAGGAUGACGUCAAGUCCGCAUGGCCCUUAUGACCAGGGCUACACACGUGCUACAAUGGUAGGUACAAAGGGUCGCUAAGCCGCAAGGCGGAGCCAAUCCCAUAAAGCCUAUCGUAGUCCGGAUCGGAGUCUGCAACUCGACUCCGUGAAGUCGGAAUCGCUAGUAAUCGUAGAUCAGCAUUGCUACGGUGAAUACGUUCCCGGGCCUUGUACACACCGCGAGC
RNAcentral lists this ribosomal RNA (439 nucleotides) under uncultured bacterium. Its description in RNAcentral is "bacterial SSU rRNA". It matches the Rfam family "Bacterial small subunit ribosomal RNA", at positions 958 to 1397 of the family's 1533-position model. The record is from RNAcentral.